Non-coding RNA from Hypoxylon fragiforme, 93 nucleotides. The record is from the annotation of a RefSeq genome assembly. Lineage: Eukaryota; Fungi; Ascomycota; Sordariomycetes; Xylariales; Hypoxylaceae.
GCGGGGAUAGCUCAGCUGGGAGAGCGCCAGACUGAAGUCACAACUUACAGUCCAUCAAUCUGGAGGUCAGGUGUUCGAUCCACCUUCACCGCA